AAAGUAUGUCGCCGUAGAGCUGGGGUUUCAAAGCGGCAUGUGCCUCCAGUCAUGCAAUGCCCUUGGAAAUCCCAAACGUGCUGGCGACCGCU
Molecule: microRNA precursor, 92 nt
Filed under: Manduca sexta (tobacco hornworm)
Lineage: Eukaryota; Metazoa; Arthropoda; Insecta; Lepidoptera; Sphingidae
Description: mir-2788 microRNA precursor family
Rfam family: mir-2788 microRNA precursor family
Source: Rfam by way of RNAcentral